CAGAUCUUGUGUGGUGUAUGAAACUCUGAAAAACUGUUGGCUGUUGUGAAAACAAAAUUAAGAAGGCUUUUCUUAUUGAUGUCUGAGGAUUAGCAAUACUAAAUAUAAAAACUGGGACAAUGGCAACAAAAAUAAUUUGCUACAUGAGGUACUUGGUUUACCUUCGCGGGCCACAUAAAAUGCUGUUGGGGGCCGGAUCUGGCCCCUAGGCCUUGAGUUUGACAGCUUGCUGUACAGUAUUGAAAAUUGCUGUGUGCUACAAAUACCCCUUGAUGGCAGUAAUGGCUCAUGGAUGGAUUUAGGUGGCUGAUUGUUGAAGAGUAUGUUGAGAGUCAACAAGACACCAAACUUACAAGACGACUGCAUAACUCCAUCGUUCGUUUUGACUUAUCUUGAAUGGUUAGGAUCUUCAUCUGAACUUAUCACACAGGCUGAGCUCUCAACAUUCAGCUUUUUGUGUAUAUCCGGAUUGUCAUUCCACUCUUGGAUUUUAUGCAUUGUACCAUUUACUUCUUCCUUGUUUCAUUUUUACUUUUGUCCAAUAGCAAUUACUCUGAAACUGGUACUACUUCAUAGUAAUGGGAACUCAAACAAUGCCUUCACCAAUGUGUGUAUUUGACACAUGAUUAAAAAUAAAUAUGCUAGCAGCCAAACAAGUUCCUCCUUAACCAAAACUACAUAUGCUCAAAAAUGGAAGUACAUUUUGCAGUGUCGUUUUUGUUGCAUUCUAUCAGCUCACCGCUAGAUGGCAGAAAAUUCUACACACAUCCCUUUAAAAUCGUGUAUACUGUAAAAUCUAAACAGCCCAUUUAUUUAUUUAUUUAUUUAUUUAUUCAGUCAUUUAUUUAUUGGUUAACGUAAUGAUCUGCUGUUACCCACUGCCUAAUCUACCUGGCAACAGUCGAACUUAUUUCUUUCCUCUUAAAGCACUGGUUGCAGUCCUUUCCAAUUUUUAAACAUCAUCAGUUUCGAUCGUUACAUGUGCUUCUUCUGUAUCCGUUUUAUAGUCCAUCCCAUUCCAGACCAGCCUCAGAGGCUUCCCCAGUAACCUUAUAUGAAGAAGCUACCUAAAUUCCUUCCCUCUAUGAUGAUAUUGUGGUCUUCCAAAAUGCCAUCCAUGUUUCCAUUCCAACCCAUAA
This is a long non-coding RNA of Syngnathus acus (greater pipefish), 1139 nucleotides long. RefSeq lists it as uncharacterized. The record is from RefSeq and is a predicted model, not a curated record. Lineage: Eukaryota; Metazoa; Chordata; Actinopteri; Syngnathiformes; Syngnathidae. The transcript is spliced from 2 exons.